CUGCACUGAGCUAAGAGCAUUGUAUCUGAGAGCUAAUUACCUUCAAGGGAACAUUCCACCCGAGAUUGGAGAACUUGUGCACCUUACCAUCUUGGACUUGUCAAGCAAUUUGCUCAGGGGUACAAUUCCUCCAU
Long non-coding RNA from Zingiber officinale, 134 nucleotides. RefSeq lists it as uncharacterized. The record is from RefSeq and is a predicted model, not a curated record. NCBI's taxonomy places the organism in Eukaryota, Viridiplantae, Streptophyta, Magnoliopsida, Zingiberales, Zingiberaceae. The transcript is spliced from 3 exons.